Molecule: long non-coding RNA, 893 nt
Filed under: Mytilus galloprovincialis (Mediterranean mussel)
Lineage: Eukaryota; Metazoa; Mollusca; Bivalvia; Mytilida; Mytilidae
Source: RNAcentral
UCUUUAAUCAAAGAGCAGAAUGCUCUGAGGGAUACGAUUGCCAUAUAGUUUUCAUUGACACAUGUAUAGCAGUUCUGCCAACUUUUCAUUAAGCAAAUUCGUGAGAUUUGGCCAAAAUAGAAAAGAUCAAAGAGGAAAAAAUUGAUCCAAGGAUACUGCUGCAAAAAAGCAUGAACAUGCGUGAGUCUCACGCAUUUUUGGCAGCCCUGGCCUUGAUAGUCCAAAUAAUUAUGACGUCUUGAAAGGCUAUUAUAUUUUUUUUUUCUUUGACGCCUUACUUCGACAGCUGGAUAGUAUUAUUUUCAAAACUAAUUCAACUGCACAUGCAAAGGUAAUAUAAAUCUGAAUAGUCACUCAACUUUAAAAAUAGCUAAUCCCGGAUACAAGUGUACGAGCAAUGUACUUAUUGUGUUUUAUUUGUGUGCUAUCAAUUCCAAGUUUACUUUCCACAGCAGUCACUGAGAGAGAGAGAGAGAGAAGGUAUUUCACUUCAUAGUUCGAGAUUACUCUGAUGUCCGACGGCUGAUUUGCCAGACAAGCUGGGACCGUGGGGGACUUUUAUGCUAGUAUACUUAAAUUACAAACUUAAAUAGUCCCAGUCCCAUAUAUUAUAUCAAGUAUUAUUGGAUGCCGAAUUGAAUUUUAAAUAGGUGCCGAUUUGACUAGAUGCCGAUUUAACCAGGUGCCGAUUUGACUUUUUCUAUGGGUGCCGAUUUGACCAGGUGCCGAUUUGACUUGUACCCAGUAAUCUCGGGACUAUUCACUUCGUAUCUUAUCACCGUUAAUUCUAGGAGGAACCCCAUUUCCCAGUCCCAUAUAUUAUAUCAAAUAUUAUUGGAUGCCGAAUUGACUUUUAAAUAGGUGCCGAUUUGACUAGAUGCCGAUUUAACCAG